This 333-nucleotide ribosomal RNA is filed under the name uncultured Bacillota bacterium. Its description in RNAcentral is "bacterial SSU rRNA". It matches the Rfam family "Bacterial small subunit ribosomal RNA", at positions 28 to 351 of the family's 1533-position model. Lineage: Bacteria; Bacillati; Bacillota. The record is from RNAcentral.
GACGAACGCUGGCGGCGUGCCUAAUACAUGCAAGUCGAGCGGACUGAUGGAGAGCUUGCUCUCUUGAGGUCAGCGGCGGACGGGUGAGUAACACGUGGGUAACCUGCCUGAUCGUCUGGGAUAACGCUUGGAAACGAGUGCUAAUACCGGAUAAUCUCUUGGAUCGCAUGGUUCGAGAGUAAAAGGAGCUUUUGCUCCACGAUCAGAUGGACCCGCGGCGCAUUAGCUAGUUGGUGAGGUAACGGCUCACCAAGGCGACGAUGCGUAGCCGACCUGAGAGGGUGACCGGCCACACUGGGACUGAGACACGGCCCAGACUCCUACGGGUGGCAG